UCCUUUCUUAAUAUUUCUCUCAUUCAUUCAUUCCCUUCCAAUCUCACUCAAAAUGAAUUCAAAUUUUACAACAACACACACACGCAGAGUAAUUAUUGUAAGAAAUGGUGAUGGCGAGGGCAAGCUCUGGCCCCACAUCCCAAGCGAUUCUAUGCAGCUCUCUACCAACAGGUUCCCUCUCCAAUUCUCCAUCUCCAUUCCCGGAUCCAAUGCCUUUCCUUCUAAUUGAAUUGAAUUCACCAUAUUGUUUGUUGUGACAGUGGUGAUUGUUUGUUGUGAUAGCAACAAUGGCGAAAGGAAAUAAUUUUGCCGUGUAUGUGUAUGGGUCUGUGUUUGGUUAAUUUCUGGGUUCAAUUUCUGGGUUUGCUGUGGUUGAUUUUUCCUUAUGGUUUCGGUUUGCUAUGGUUGAAUGGGUUGCCUUCUCAUGGGUUUUGGUUUACAGAGGUUCCAGUGAAAUUAACAGAGCAUGGGAGGUUGCAGUGAAAUACCCGGCUUCUAACCAUUUACAGAGCAUGGUUGCAGUGAAAUAAUAGAUAAACAAGGGAAAAAAAAUUACCUGGAAGAUGAAAGAUGCUUGCAGUUGGUCUGCGUGAAUUAUUUGGGAGAGAUUUGGUUUAUUGAGACAAAGAAAGGAAAGUGUUUUCCGGUUUUAAGAACAAGAAAACACUUUCCUACGCUAACGUUUUAAUUUUUCCGUUGACUGGAAUUGAGUUUCCUUUGACUGAUUUUCCUUGUGCUUGCCAAACAUGGGAAAAUGGGAAAAGUGGUUUCCAGGAAAAUGCAUUCCUGGAAACAAACAAG
This 801-nucleotide long non-coding RNA is filed under the name Populus tremula. RNAcentral describes it as "long non-coding RNA (PTRE_LNC002873)". The record is from RNAcentral. Lineage: Eukaryota; Viridiplantae; Streptophyta; Magnoliopsida; Malpighiales; Salicaceae.